Non-coding RNA from Labrus bergylta (ballan wrasse), 2301 nucleotides. NCBI's taxonomy places the organism in Eukaryota, Metazoa, Chordata, Actinopteri, Labriformes, Labridae. The record is from RefSeq and is a predicted model, not a curated record.
CUGGUUUACACCUCAUCUAAGGAAGCUGCGUCAGGCCAAGGAGGAGGCCUACAGGAGUGUGGACCGGGUUUAAGCAUACCUGGCCAAUAAAGCUGAUUCUGAUUCUGAUUCUCUUAAGGCCCUGACACACCAAGCAGACGGCCAAGAACUGGUGGCGACGAAGGCCGCCUGUGUUGUCGGCAGGCGACGCCUCUUGUCUUGGCCAAAAAGUUGCUGCAGUCUUUGUGGUGUGUUCUAGUGCAACUUUUUGGCCAAGACAAAAUGUGAAGCCGACACCACAGGCGGUCUGCUUGGUGUGUCAGGGCCUUUAUAGUUGAUACUAUAAAACUGGAUGUUUUAUCCUUAAUGGUUUACAUUAUAAUGCAUCAAAAGAGGCAUCAAUAUGUAUUUUGGUCAGUUUGAUCAAAAGUUCUCACAGGAGCUUUAAGAAGCUUUAAGAAAGUCCAAAUUAAGCAGGAUUUAAAUUGGUAUUGAAAAAUGAAAAAUAAUGAGUAAGUUAUUGAAAAUAAAGUAUCCUUUCAGUUGUCACAACUUGAGAAAUCAGCCAGCGGGAUCAAAACUGGGAUUUACUUGCUUUUGGAACCAGCUCCAAGUGGCCACUCGAGAAACUGCGAUUUUGGCACUUCAGCUUUACUUACUUUCUGAGCACUUGAAGUUGUUUCUUGGUUAACAUUAGUUUGGCAGAGUUACAGAAGAAGAAUCCCGGAAAGUCCAGGAAAGCAUUUAUAUUAAUGCUAUUAUUCUAAUAAAGCAUGUGGGCACGAAAUACAGAAGUGUUUCAGGUAGACUUUUCUUUGUUGUAUGUGCAGAUCAUGUAUGAAAUGCUAAUACAUGAGUUUUAUUGUUACUAAUUUUCAAGAGCUCAAGUCACUCUUCUCUCCGGUGAUGACUCUCCUGUGUUUGUCGAGCCUACUGAUCUGGUACUUACUGGAAAGUGAUGUGGACCAGCACUUACCCGCCCCUCAGAUGAAAAGAGCCCCCAAGACCUUUAACCUCUGCAAAGAAUGCAAUAAUACGAUCAUAAAAGUAAUGCAGAAUUACUCCCAAGCCUGGAAGAAGCAGGAGGACAGUUUUAAAAAAUUCAGGUAAACCAAAAAGGUCGUCUUGGUUUUGAACUUUAAGGGGAAAAAAUAAAAGAAGGUAAGAAUUGAUAACUCUCUCGUUGGUAAGGUAACUCGUUGGUAAGGUAACUCUCUCGUGGAACCACUGCUAUAUGUAUGCGGGCCAUCUACAGUGUUGAGGACUUAGGAAGCCAUUAGGCCCGUCUUCAUUCACCCUAAGUACUUCCGCAAGCUGGCUGCCUUCUGGCGUGUACAAGGCUUGGGAUCAGCGUGGAUGAGCACCGGGCUAAUUAUAACUAGCAUAGCUUUGGAGGUCUGUGAAAAUGUGCAUCUGUAUGGGUUCUGGCCCUUCGAUAAUCACCCCUAUGGACUCUACGACCUGACGAACCACUACUAUGAUGACAGAAAAGCUAAAAGUGUCCACGCCAUGCCCAAGGAGUUUGGGCUCCUGAUGCAGCUGCACAGACAGGGGGUGCUCAAGCUUCAUCUGGGAGAUUGUCAACGGUUAUGACUAUGAGUCAUAAUUGUAUACAAGUGUUAUUAUGUCGGUCUGCUUUGUGUUCGGUGUUUCGUUUGUGCGUCUGUCUUUCUGCUGUGUUUCAGGUGCCCAGCCCUGAUUGGAGAAACCCGGAUGGUUGCUAAUGUUUUCUGCAAAACAAUUAUGAUCCAAUCUUUUUAUUAACGCUUCAAGUGUUCAUCAGACACAUGUUCACACAAGAAUGCAUUCCUUUGAAUACUUCUAUAAACAUGUGGACUGGAGAGCUGUAGGGUUUUUGUACUAUUCCAACUCUGCUUUUUUUUAUACAACUAGUCUAUGUAUAACUGAUAUGUAACUCAGUUUUUGGUUUGACAUUAUUUUGGUUUGUUUGCAUACUAGUUAGAUAACAAUAUGUGUAAGUAAUCUAGUUAAGGUAAAAUAAAUCUGAGACUUGCUCAAGAAACGGUAAUUUCUCAUGCUUUAAUUUUGUAUUUUAGAACAUGUCAUGCUAAGGUUACCUUGCUUCCUUUUUGGUAAAAAAAAAACCCAGACUUUUAUUUUGAAGCAACUUCUGGUUUUCAAUGUUGUUUAGGUAACUUAAGUUCGAGAAAUGAAUGUGAUGUAUGUAUUAAGAGAUGGUAACCAACAAAAAAGUUACGGUAAAAGGUGAAUGUUAAAGUUUUGCAGCCCUCCACCGGACAAUAAUCUCUUACGGUGGUUUUGAAUUAUGUGUGAGCUUUACAAUAAAGCAGAUAAAAAUCA